AACUGAGUAGUCUAAUGUUGUUCCGGUUUUGGUUUUUGUGAACGUUGACAUCGAUUCGUUCCAAAUUUCACUCUCGGGGCAUAAUAGAACAAUUUAAUUAGGUUUUACUCUUUGUUCGAUUAAAUGAGAAAAAGUACUUGUUGCAAUGUUAUACUGUUAGGGCGCAACUGAGUAGUCUAAUGUUGUUCCGGUUUUGGUUCUUGUGGAAGUUGACAUCGAUUCAUUUCAAAUUUACACUAUCAGGGCAUAACAGAACAAUAUAAUAAGGUUUUACUCUUUAUUCGAUUGAAUGAGAAAAAGUACUAGUUGCAAUGUUAUACUGUUAGGGCUCAACUGAGUAGUCUAACGUUUUUCAGGUUUAGGUUCUUAUGAACGUUGUCAUCGAUUCGUUCGAAAUUUACACACUCGGGGC
This 412-nucleotide long non-coding RNA is filed under the name Ananas comosus (pineapple). RNAcentral's name for it is "long non-coding RNA (ACOM_LNC038190)". Lineage: Eukaryota; Viridiplantae; Streptophyta; Magnoliopsida; Poales; Bromeliaceae. The record is from RNAcentral.